This is a long non-coding RNA of Vidua chalybeata, 1000 nucleotides long. RefSeq lists it as uncharacterized. The transcript is spliced from 2 exons. The record is from RefSeq and is a predicted model, not a curated record. Lineage: Eukaryota; Metazoa; Chordata; Aves; Passeriformes; Viduidae.
ACCAUGUGAAGCUGAACCAGAGCUCUGGAGGAAUGUGUGGAUAUCUGAUUGGUUGUUAAUGAGGAGUUCAAGCUGGUCCUAUAACUAAGCAGACGGUUAGCCACAGUGUGAGCCCUGGGGACCGGUUUUCUCUGAGUCGAGGAUUGGAAAGGCAUCCAGACAGGUCUGCACAGCUAAGACAACGAGGGCUGUGGACUUGUCACCUUGCAUGGAAAGCCCUUGGACUGCACAGAGUAGCCUUUGCUCCCUCCAGCAGCAUCAAAUGACCCAUCCAAUUGGACAUCCAGUCUCACCCUGGUGGUGGAAGGAAACAUUUAUCCAGAAGAAGAGACUAUCAUAGCCAGAGCAGUGCAUCCCUUAUUUGCCCUGUCUCUGGAUCUCAUACAGGCAAUUUCACUCUGUCAUACAUAAAGGAAGCAACACCUGUUAUUAAAACACUUUGGAAAUCAUUGGUAAAUAGCCUUUAUAAACAUCAAACACAGGAGAGAUAAGCAGUUGGAUAAAACAACAAAUUGUGUGCCCUCAAUACCAUGAAGGCAGUACUGAGGGAAAUGUAUUUUCCCAUAAGAAAUAUUCAGGAAAACCUGCAGAUACUGCAAGAAGUGAGAGGAAAGGAUGGAGACUUAGAAAGCACAAGUAUUCUCCUUUCUCAGAGGUGGGAGGACAGGUAGUGGGCCUGUUCCUCACAGACAACAAAGGAGAUGUUAAAUUUCAAAAUGAAGUUUUGAUUUUUUGAAACCUGAAUGGAGAUCCUGAGACUUUAAUUGAUUUAGGGUUUGGUGUUCCUACAAACUUCCUUUAGUCCAAGAAUUUCAUUCUGUGUUAUCCAAGUCUUUGUCAAUGUGUCCAAGCUCCUUGUUCCCUGGGCAUUGGAACCUUUAUGCCCUUGGUGUGUGCAGGAUGUCAGGCUCUGUCCUGUUCUCCAGGAACCGAUAAGCCCUAUUCAUGCUAGGCCUUUCCAGUCUUUUCAUCCCUGGAAAAUAAAAAGUCUGAAAUAUUA